RNAcentral lists this small RNA (160 nucleotides) under Streptococcus agalactiae 2603V/R. RNAcentral describes it as "Streptococcus sRNA SSRC38". It matches the Rfam family "Streptococcus sRNA SSRC38". The record is from Rfam by way of RNAcentral. Lineage: Bacteria; Bacillati; Bacillota; Bacilli; Lactobacillales; Streptococcaceae.
GAGAGGGGCUAGAGAUUAGCCUCUACUCGAUUGUGCUACCUCAUCAAAAAGAAGUUAGGACAAAUAGCUGUCAACAAUUGCCUUUUGCUUAUCCCUUCAGUUGAUGUGAUAAAAGAUGGUAGUUGUCAUUGACAAAGCAUUGAUAAAGGAGUAAAAUUAA